UGGCAUGCCCAUGCAAGCACAUGAUUUUGCUCUAUCAAUAAAUAUUGUAAUUAAACCUUUUUAUGCCACCCUUCUUUCAUCAUAUUCCAACUUAUUUGCUCUGAUAUAAGCUAGAUUUAACAUCUUCAGGCCCAGAAAUUAGGAUUCAAGAUUUGCCUCAUUGAAAACCGGUCAGGAGUUCAUGUUCACAAUCAAGCAGUGACCCCUUCUACUACUUGAGGGAUUCAGCAAAGGUACUUCUACUUUUCUGUCCUAACAAGAAAUUAGUGAAAAAAGAUACCUCUCAUUCAGGUAUUUUCUAUAAAUGCACAUUUAUUUAUAACAAUAGCACCAGGAUGAAUGUUUGUUACUCAUGAUAUUUUUAAUUCCGUUAACCUCUUGAAUAAAGAUUAUUGAAAUUUGACUUCUAAAGUUGUGCCAUUGCUUGUGCUGAACCAGACCAUCAACGGUACAGUCAAAGUUGAACAUGAAAACAAGGCGCUCUGCCAGUGUGCGUGCAUGAUCCAAUAGCAUGUGUUUAAUAGUAGCCACUAUGAUGUGAAAUACUAGCAGCUUCCUCCAUUUAUGCCAGUAUUUGAUAUACUUACCAAAGUUUAAGGGCGCCAAUCUUAAGAAGACAUCCCGGUUUGUGAGAAAAUUUCUUAUGCGUAUUAGACAAAAGAUGUAUCUAAUUUUCCUUAGGUUGCAUUGCAACACAUCAGUUUU
RNAcentral lists this long non-coding RNA (705 nucleotides) under Triticum aestivum (bread wheat). RNAcentral's name for it is "long non-coding RNA (TAES_LNC026336)". Lineage: Eukaryota; Viridiplantae; Streptophyta; Magnoliopsida; Poales; Poaceae. The record is from RNAcentral.